Molecule: long non-coding RNA, 401 nt
Filed under: Setaria viridis
Lineage: Eukaryota; Viridiplantae; Streptophyta; Magnoliopsida; Poales; Poaceae
Description: long non-coding RNA (SVIR_LNC007259)
Source: RNAcentral
GGCAGGGAUCAACCGGAAAGUUUGACAUGGAACUCGGCGGAGCCUGAGAUGAAGGCGAUACCACAGCGGAGGAUGCGAGGUUAGCGUGGUUUACUGUAGCGUGGUCAGGAGAAGGAGAAGCGUCACCACCAAAGGAAGGAGAAGCUACAUUAGAGGAGGAUGCGGCGCUAUUAAAGGCAGGGGGAUCAUUGGUGGGCCGAGCCGCCGGAACAACUCUCCUGUAGAUCCGUGAACGAUUAGAUUUGGCCCGACAAAACCGCGAGAUACGGCCGUAUCCAAACACGUUCUGCAACGUGUCACAUUUCUGCACGUCAACACGAGAUGUCCUAGGGAUAGACAGCGAAAAUAGAGCCUGCUAUUCCGAGGAUUAUGCAAGGUAGGCUUGAGAAACAACUGAUUAC